This 564-nucleotide ribosomal RNA is filed under the name uncultured bacterium. RNAcentral describes it as "bacterial SSU rRNA". It matches the Rfam family "Bacterial small subunit ribosomal RNA", at positions 147 to 710 of the family's 1533-position model. The record is from RNAcentral.
CUCCUGGAAACGGGUGGUAAUGCCGGAUGUUCCACAUGAGCGCAUGCGAGUGUGGGAAAGGCUUUUUGCGGCAUGGGAUGGGGUCGCGUCCUAUCAGCUUGUUGGUGGGGUAACGGCCUACCAAGGCGUUGACGGGUAGCCGGCCUGAGAGGGCGACCGGCCACAUUGGGACUGAGAUACGGCCCAGACUCCUACGGGAGGCAGCAGUGGGGAAUAUUGCACAAUGGGCGCAAGCCUGAUGCAGCGACGCCGCGUGCGGGAUGGAGGCCUUCGGGUUGUAAACCGCUUUUGUUCAAGGGCAAGGCACGGUCUUUUGGCCGUGUUGAGUGGAUUGUUCGAAUAAGCACCGGCUAACUACGUGCCAGCAGCCGCGGUAAUACGUAGGGUGCGAGCGUUAUCCGGAUUUAUUGGGCGUAAAGGGCUCGUAGGCGGUUCGUCGCGUCCGGUGUGAAAGUCCAUCGCCUAACGGUGGAUCUGCGCCGGGUACGGGCGGGCUGGAGUGCGGUAGGGGAGACUGGAAUUCCCGGUGUAACGGUGGAAUGUGUAGAUAUCGGGAAGAACACC